UCAUCGGAUUGCGGGGGUAACCGCGAUCGGCAAUUAAUUGAUCUAAAGAAUUAAACGGUGCUUGCGAUGGUUCAAUUCCUACCCAUUGCA
This 90-nucleotide transfer RNA is filed under the name Calothrix brevissima NIES-22. RNAcentral's name for it is "tRNA-Asn". Lineage: Bacteria; Bacillati; Cyanobacteriota; Cyanophyceae; Nostocales; Calotrichaceae. The record is from RNAcentral.